AUUGACCUCGGAUCAGGUAGGGAUACCCGCUGAACUUAAGCAUAUCAAUAAGCGGAGGAAAAGAAACCAACAGGGAUUGCCUCAGUAACGGCGAGUGAAGCGGCAACAGCUCAGAUUUGAAAUCUGGCCCUUUCGGGGUCCGAGUUGUAAUCUGUAGAGAGUGCUUCGGGGGAGAUCGCGGUCUAAGUCCAUUGGAACAUGGCGUCAUAGAGGGUGAGAAUCCCGUAUGUGACUGUGGAUUGACCCCAUGCGAAGUCUCUUCGACGAGUCGAGUUGUUUGGGAAUGCAGCUCAAAAUGGGUGGUAAAUUUCAUCUAAAGCUAAAUACUGGCUGGAGACCGAUAGCGCACAAGUAGAGUGAUCGAAAGAUGAAAAGCACUUUGGAAAGAGAGUCAAAAAGUACGUGAAAUUGUUGAAA
Molecule: ribosomal RNA, 417 nt
Filed under: Anzia colpota
Lineage: Eukaryota; Fungi; Ascomycota; Lecanoromycetes; Lecanorales; Parmeliaceae
Description: eukaryotic LSU rRNA
Rfam family: Eukaryotic large subunit ribosomal RNA
Source: RNAcentral